UUUUUAUUGACAACAUUACAGAUCUCAAAGAUACAUAUAACGAUGAUGAAGUUAUGAGAAUAUUUGAUACUUUUGGACGCUAAUGAAGGGUCGUAGAAUUUAAUUCAGACACAAAUGGUUGAGGCAACCCCUUACAAUGAGCUAGCUUCAACUGCAUCUGUAUGUCUAUCAAUCCUUCUCUUGUGUUAUUGCAAAUAAAAAUGUGAAGUUUGUCUUGGGA
This is a long non-coding RNA of Parasteatoda tepidariorum (common house spider), 220 nucleotides long. The record is from RefSeq and is a predicted model, not a curated record. Lineage: Eukaryota; Metazoa; Arthropoda; Arachnida; Araneae; Theridiidae.